UCUUCCACAAUGGGCGCAAGCCUGAUGGAGCAACACCGCGUGAGUGAAGAAGGGUUUCGGCUCGUAAAGCUCUGUUGUUAGAGAAGAACGUGCGUGAGAGUAACUGUUCACGCAGUGACGGUAUCUAACCAGAAAGUCACGGCUAACUAAGUGACAGCAGCCGCGGUAAUACGUAGGUGGCAAGCGUUAUCCGGAUUUAUUGGGCGUAAAGCGAGCGCAGGCGGUUUGAUAAGUCUGAUGUGAAAGCCUUUGGCUUAACCAAAGAAGUGCAUCGGAAACUGUCAGACUUGAGUGCAGAAGAGGACAGUGGAACUCCAUGUGUAGCGGUGGAAUACGUAGAUAUAUGGAAGAACACCAGUGGCGAAGGCGGCUGUCUGGUCUGCAACUGACGCUGAGGCUCGAAAGCAUGGGUAGCGAACAGG
This 422-nucleotide ribosomal RNA is filed under the name uncultured bacterium. Its description in RNAcentral is "bacterial SSU rRNA". It matches the Rfam family "Bacterial small subunit ribosomal RNA", at positions 362 to 776 of the family's 1533-position model. The record is from RNAcentral.